AUUUGGUGUAAAUUGAAAUAAUAAACAAAAGGUUCUAUGAAAUGUACUUACACUUUGUGUCUAAGAUGAAGAUGAUCAAGCAAAAAAAGAACCGAUCACGUAAGCUUUUCCAACGUUUGGUACACAUCUCAACUGAAAAACACUGACAGCCUCACCAUUUCACCAAAUAUGUGGCAUUCAAAUCACAAAACACUCGCUAAAACAAUUAUUCACCAAGUCAACUGGACGAUUUUCCCGCAAUUUCUCAUUUACAAAAUGUCACUACCAAUUAUUGCCAAUUGUUGUGUGUGUAAACGUUUCAAUUUCGCAUACCGCAAUGAUGAGAACAUGACUCCAAAUUGACAACGCUAGUUUCUAAGUUCAUAUAUUCUGAGCGGAAAAAAGAAGAAAAAAAAUCA
Molecule: non-coding RNA, 398 nt
Organism: Ciona intestinalis (vase tunicate)
Lineage: Eukaryota; Metazoa; Chordata; Ascidiacea; Phlebobranchia; Cionidae
Source: RefSeq, a predicted model, not a curated record